Molecule: non-coding RNA, 196 nt
Filed under: Bacillus sp. (in: firmicutes)
Lineage: Bacteria; Bacillati; Bacillota; Bacilli; Caryophanales; Bacillaceae
Source: RNAcentral
AUUGUAUUGCGAAAUGUUGGUGUUGCUUAGCAGCUUAAUAGGGAAUCUGGUGAGAAUCCAGAACUGUCCCCGCAACUGUAAGUGUGGAUGAAAUGAGACAACCACUGUAUAAGAGUGCUUAAUAGGUGCUUAUACGGGAAGGCUCAAAGUAAGGUGAAGCACAAGUCAGGAGACCUGCCACCAUUUCUUAGUCAGC